CCUUCUUCCCUCUUCCCUCUCCCCGAGCUCUCCUUCUUCUCUCCUCUGCCGCCUCGACAGGGCCUCCUCCGGCCACCAGCUCACCAAAUCGUCACCACCAUUUGAAUCCCAAUGCUGCUCCGACCGAAACCCCACCGAGUAUUGUAGACGCAAGCCGCCAUCCUCACACCUCCAUCUUACCAGAAGAAGCCACCCUAUCCAUCCAUCUCUCUCCAAUCUCAAUCUCAAUCAAAACCCAUGAAAGAUUCAAACUUUCUGCUUCAAAGGGUCUCUGAAUCGAAACCCAUAAAAAUUUGAUUCGUGAAUGGCGAGCCUGUAUGUGAAAGUUGUGCCUCCUGCGGAUCUGAAUAGGAACACAGAGUGGUUCAUGUACCCUGGAGUUUGGACCACCUAUAUUCUCAUCCUCUUCUUCUCUUGGCUUCUUGUGCUCUCGAUCUUUGGCUGCUCUCCUGGCAUGGCUGGGACGAUAGUCAAUCUCUCUCAUUUCGUGCUGGUAGCAGGUGACAAUGGUUACAGUAAAAGCAUGUCUAAGGCUUGGCGAAACUUAUAGUAAAAGCUGGUAGCAGUUAGGAUCUUGUUGUGAAGCUGGAAAAGUUACAGCACCAAUCCAAAGGCACAGUUCCAAUCAUGAUCUUUUGGCCAUAAGACUGUAGGAAGAUGGUGGAAGGCUGUACAAGGCUCCAAAUGCUUAAUUGAGAUGCAAGAAAUCUUGAGUUUAGGAUUAAUGAUUUCGUUUCUCAUUUAAUGUUUUGCAUUCUUUCAUUUUAUUUAUACACAUGUAUUGGCACACUUCAAAGGUUUGUCUUUGAAGUGGAUUAUUCAAUAAUCAAUGAAGUAUUACUUUGUUUGAA
Molecule: long non-coding RNA, 851 nt
Organism: Argentina anserina (silverweed cinquefoil)
Lineage: Eukaryota; Viridiplantae; Streptophyta; Magnoliopsida; Rosales; Rosaceae
Exons: 3
Source: RefSeq, a predicted model, not a curated record